Molecule: long non-coding RNA, 1135 nt
Filed under: Homo sapiens (human)
Lineage: Eukaryota; Metazoa; Chordata; Mammalia; Primates; Hominidae
Description: HSALNT0175002
Source: RNAcentral
CCAUAACUGGACCCCACUGAACUGUAAGCUCCACAGGGAUAGAGACCAGGUAUCUAUGAGUACAUUCCUCAGCACCCAGCAUGAUAGAUGUUCAAUAAAAUAAUUGCAGAAUGAAGGAACCAGUUCUUAGGAGGACACAGUAUUUCCUGCUAACUGGACAUAGUGGCGGUUGCCAGGGGAUGUCUUGCUAGAAGACAAGUUUAUCAUUCCCCACAUACCUUUGGGAAGAGACAAGGAUUGCUAGGUGGUGAUGAUAAGAAACGCAGAUUUGUCAAAACCAACCUGUGCAUUUUUUAAAAGUUAAAAACAAUUUUAAAUACAAGUAGAUAUGAGGUUUCAUUAUGUUGCCUAGGCUGGUCUUGAACUCCUGGGCUCAAGCAAUCUUCCCGCCUUGGCCUCCCAAAGUGCUGGGAUUAUAGGCGCGAGCUACCACGCCAGACCCUAAUUGUGCACUUUUGCAAAGGCCCUAUGGGCAGGAGGGAACUCUACCUCAGAAUGGGGAGCAUGUCACUGUCACCUAGGGGACUUCCCUAAACUGUAUAUGCCUACCUGUCCCCAGUUUGAGAUUCUAAUACAUCCCUUGGGGAGAGCAAAGGGGAAUGUUCCCUGUUCCUCCAUGUGAGAAUAUCUGCCAUGGUAAACCACUCUUACUGGUGGCAGGACAUCAUAUUCCUAAGCUGUGUUAGGGCCACAAAUUUAAAGACUAAAAAUAAAACAACGAAAAAAUAAAAAACAACAGCUUUGUAAACCACCAUAAGACUUGGCAUUUGAUUGGGGCUCCUUUACUGCAAUACAGAUACUGGUUAUAUGGCCUACUCAUCAGUAAGUCCUAGGGGAUUCUUGGAGCUCCCUCAGGGCACAAUGGUAGAUGUGAAAGUCUCCAGGUCCCCUGACUUUACCUGUUUUUUUUGUUGUUGUUGUUUGUUUUACAUACUAGGCUUCCAUAUAAUCUCUAAACAAAUGAAAGUUUGAAACUCUGCUGUAAGUGACAACACUACAAAGUGAACAAGUCAGGAUUAAAACUCACUAUCCAAAGUGCCAAAUCACUCAUCCAUUUAGUGGUCAGAACACAACCUCACCCAUGGGCGACCAGAAGCAAAUCUGUGUCUUCUGGAGGUUUCAGUGUUGCUCAUAC